UUGGACUGUAGGAGGGGGAGGUAGGGCUGUAUGAGGGGGAGGUAGGGCUGUAUGAAGGGGAUGUCGGGCUGUAUGAAGGGGAUGUUGGGCUGUAUGAAGGUGAUGUAGGGCUGUAUGAAGGUGAUGUUGGGCUGUAGGAUGGCGAUGUGGGGCUGUAUGAUGGAGAUGUAGGGCUGUAUGCGGGAGAUGUGGGGCUGUAUGCUGGUGAGGUUGGACUAUAAACUGGCGAAGUGGGGCUGUAGCUUGGUGAAGUGGGGCUGUAGCUUGGUGAUGUUGGGCUGUAACUUGGAGAUGUUGGGCUGUAGCUUGGAGAUGUGGGCGAGUAUGAUGGACUGGUGGGCGAGUAUGUUGGACUUGUUGGGGAGUAAUUUGGGCUUGUAGGACUAUAGGUGGGAGAGCCAGGUGUAUAGGAUGGUGAGGUGGGACUGUAACUUGGUGAUGCAGGGCUGUAUGAUGGAGAAAGAGGGCUAUAUCCU
Molecule: long non-coding RNA, 476 nt
Filed under: Panicum hallii
Lineage: Eukaryota; Viridiplantae; Streptophyta; Magnoliopsida; Poales; Poaceae
Description: long non-coding RNA (PHAL_LNC000607)
Source: RNAcentral